AACGUAGGGGGCCAGCGUUGCUCGGAAUUACUGGGCGUAAAGGGUCCGUAGGCGGUGUGGCAAGUCGGAAGUGAAAUCUCUGGGCUUAACUCAGAGGCUGCUUCCGAAACUGCUGUGCUAGAGUGUGAGAGAGGCGAGUGGAAUUGCGGGUGUAGCGGUGAAAUGCGUAGAUAUCCGCAGGAACAUCCGAGGCGAAAGCGGCUCGCUGGAUCACAACUGACGCUGAGGGACGAAAGCUAGGGGAGCAAACAGG
RNAcentral lists this ribosomal RNA (253 nucleotides) under uncultured bacterium. RNAcentral describes it as "partial 16S ribosomal RNA". It matches the Rfam family "Bacterial small subunit ribosomal RNA", at positions 524 to 776 of the family's 1533-position model. The record is from RNAcentral.